RNAcentral lists this long non-coding RNA (2799 nucleotides) under Heterocephalus glaber (naked mole-rat). RNAcentral's name for it is "lncRNA (ENSHGLG00100052430.1)". Lineage: Eukaryota; Metazoa; Chordata; Mammalia; Rodentia; Bathyergidae. The record is from RNAcentral.
CUGCCUUAGGGAUUUGGCCUCUUCCGUUUCUGUUGAGACCCAAGAUGCACUCCCUGUUUCUGGACCUGGCAGCUUCCUCCUGCCCAGGGACUCGCUGUUACUCGGACCACUGCCAACUCCCCACCAAUGUUUUGGGGUCUACAGAGAUCCUCCAGGUGAAGCCGGGGUGGGUCAGUGAGCCUCUCUUCAUGGGCCUGAACCUGUUCACUCACCAGUGGGCUUCCUUGACCCCUUCCUCUUCCUCCUUUUCCCAAAGCCAGUGAAUCACCAAGUCCUGUAAAUUCUCUUAAACAUUCUUUCAGUGUAUCUGUUUCUCUUCGUUACCUUCUAAUUCAGGGGCCAGUCCACCAUGGCCCUUAGACUCAGUCUGGUGCUAUUUUGUAAAUAAAGUUUUAUUGGGACAUAGCCAUGAGCAUUCUUUGCACGACACCCACGCUGCUUUCUUGCUGCAGACAGGGUGGACCUCGCCCCAAUACUUGAGAUGUAGCCUUUCCAGAAAAGAUCUGCCAGCUCUGCCCUAACUAACCCACGCAUUCAGCCUUUCAGGGGAAUGAGGAAACUUCCUUUCCACUGGUGGCCCUGUCUCCAGUCUUGCUCCCUGCGUGCCGGCCCCACACCCUGGUCUUCCUAAAGUAAAGAUCUCAUUGCGUUGCUUGGCCACACGUGUUCCUGGCUCUGAGUGAUGCGCUCCUGAUGGUCCCUAGACACCUUCUCGUGGUCUGCAGGGCUCUCCGGCCCACUCCGGCCUUUCUGUUGCCAGCAUGGCAUGUUGCUCUGCAGCUGCAGCUGCCAAGGGCACCCAGGACCCUGAGUGUCUUCCCUCAGUCCGGGGCUUCUGUGUGCCGUUUCCUCUCCCUGGAAGGACCUGCUCUUGACGCUUACCUGGCCCGCUAGGAUGCAUCCUGUAGUCGUCAGGAAAGCCUUUCCCUGAGCUCCCAUGGACUCUGGUUCUUCUACAAGGGUUACACUGAAAUUGCGUUCUCUCUCCCUCCCUCUCUUCCCGCUCCUCUGCCUGCUCCUUGCUCUCUUCCUCUGUCUUUGACUCUCUUGCUCUCCCUUCCCUCCUUCCCCUUUCCUCUCCUUCUCCUUCCUCCUCAGACUCCUCUUUCUCCUCUGUCCUCCUCUCUCCCUCUCUCUCUCUCUCUCUCUCUUCCCUCAAGUGCUCUGGAUGCAAAACAAAACCAACAAUAAAAAAUCCACAUCUCCCUCAGUGGCUUCCAUGCUAGUGGGGUAGACAGAACUUAAACAGGAUUAAGAAGCAGGCCAGAGAAUGUUAGGAGGAUGUCACAAGGGGAAGAAGUAAAUCAGAGGGAAGACAUGGAACGCUGGGGCGGUGGAGGCCAGGGAAAGGGUUCCCGAAUCAGGCCUGAAGGAAGAGGGGAAGGAGCGGUGAGGAGACUGGCAGGGCCGCAGGCAGCGGAAGGUCAGGCACACAGGUCUGCGGGGCAGGCCGUGGUACCCAGCGGAGUGUAGGCCCGAGGCUGGUGCGGACGCUGGAGGAGACAGGGAAGGAAGAGGGAGGGGCGAGGGAGAGCCUCAGGGAGAGACAGGGCGGCGGGAGCCACUGCAUGCUACCGAGCGGAGGAGUGACGGGACGGACGUGGUUUGGGUUUUAAAAGCCACGUAACUGAGCUCUUACGGCGCUAAUAUUAGACAGACGCCGUCCUGGAGGGCAGGCGCGGUCACCAGGGCUUCCCAGAGGCCCGGGAGAGAUUCGCGGGAGGGCCUUGUGGAGGCGGAGCAGCCCCAGGGCAGUCUGCAGGCUGGAGAAGGCGGAGCGGGAGCUCACCGGGUCGCUCCUUCCGAGAGAGCCUGGCAGCCCGGGGUAGGGCGACGGGGUGUGAGUUCUGGGACCCACGGUUCGCUUCUGCACUGCUGCCAGUGGGUGGGGCGGUGCCCUCACACCACUCUAGAGCAGCCUCCUGGAGGCACGGCUUUCUCCGGCCAAACUGUCACUAAAGGAACUGCCACAGCAGCUUUGUGUCAUACUGAUCUUCAUUCUCAGGACACAGCUCAUCUGGGCUGUGGAAGAGCUCUGUGUGUUUUACAGGUGAAUGAAUGAAUGAAGAUGAAUGAAUGAAUGAUGAACCACUGAAUGAAUGCUUCUUCCCAGCAGCCAGAUCCCGGCUCCCACGGGCUGAUGAGGUGGAAGGUGCCCCACUGGCCAAGUCCCUGGGGCUCUUGGCUGCCUGCUUGGCCAUCGCCAUGGCAACCACACACAUCCAACUGGUUUUCCUGAUUGCACAAGCUGCUGGGCUUCGUUGUCCCCUGGAGCGUGUAUCGAACUCCACGCGGUGUCAUCCGGCUGUCAUGGCUCUGGGCAGAGUUCUGCAUGGUGACAGAGGUGGGCCUGGUGGCAAUGAGGUGGGCUUGGGGGCCGGGGGUCCAUGGAAGACUCUGGGUUUCCAACCAUCUCCAGGCGCCAGGCAAGGCCUCUGUGCAGGAGAAGGGGAAGUGGGGGAAAGCCCAGAAAUCAGCUGCACAAAUGGACUUGGGGGAUUUGUGGGUUUAGUGCUGUGAGCCAGGUGUCACACAACCUUCUGAAGUCCUGGGACCCCAGAGAGCCAUUGUGGGAGAACACAGACAGCUGCCUCUCAGCCCAUGGCCCUGUUCCCUCCUGGGUGCUGAAGGCCACGCCGAGGACUCUGGGUGCCGGGGAGGAGGACAGAAGUGGAGCAGGUGGUGACAAGCAUGAAGAAGAGGAGCCGGUGGGGACCUGAGCUCUGUGCACACCUGUGUUCCCGGAGGGACAGGGCCGAGGUUUGGGAGGGGCAGGCCCGGCUGAUGGACAUUGUGCAC